RNAcentral lists this ribosomal RNA (253 nucleotides) under uncultured bacterium. Its description in RNAcentral is "partial 16S ribosomal RNA". It matches the Rfam family "Bacterial small subunit ribosomal RNA", at positions 524 to 775 of the family's 1533-position model. The record is from RNAcentral.
UACGUAGGUGGCAAGCGUUGUCCGGAAUUAUUGGGCGUAAAGCGCGCGCAGGUGGUCCCUUUAAGUCUGAUGUGAAAGCCCACGGCUCAACCGUGGAGGGUCAUUGGAAACUGGGGGACUCGAGUCCUGGAGAGGGGUCGUGGAAUUCCCGGUCGUAGCGGUGAAAUGCGUAGAGAUCGGGAGGAACACCAGUGGCGAAGGCGGCGACCUGGACGGACACUGACGCUGAGACGCGAAAGCGUGGGAGCAACAG